UGGAGUUUUGCAACCUGGAGGCGGAUACGAGUCUAAUUUCCAUUCGCUCUAAGGUCCUGUGCUCCCAGCACUUCGCACCAGUUGCUUAUUUGCGCACAGGAAGGCUUCGGUGGGAUGCAGUUCCUACAUUGAAGCGCACACUGCAUGGCGUUGGAGGAAGUAGUGCCUACGCCAAUCAGAGCAGACUUGAAAGCAGUGGGCCUUCAACGGAGGAACGUGUGCAAGCUGUGGUAGCCUGCGAUGACGACAGUACAGGAGCAAUACACCUUCACCAGAUGAGUCAUCCUUGCCAUGCUGAAGAGUGUGGCACUGAAGAAAGUCAGCAACAGCGUGAUCUGUCUCAUCAGGACCAUAGCUACGCACAACACGCACCACCCUUGUCAACACAG
Long non-coding RNA from Ornithodoros turicata, 389 nucleotides. RefSeq lists it as uncharacterized. Lineage: Eukaryota; Metazoa; Arthropoda; Arachnida; Ixodida; Argasidae. The record is from RefSeq and is a predicted model, not a curated record. The transcript is spliced from 3 exons.